ACCACGGUGGUGCAGUGGUAGCACACGUUCCCGGCAUGGAUGAACCGCUGGUUCGACUCCUGUUUAAGGUC
Molecule: non-coding RNA, 71 nt
Organism: Parelaphostrongylus tenuis
Lineage: Eukaryota; Metazoa; Nematoda; Chromadorea; Rhabditida; Metastrongylidae
Source: the annotation of a GenBank genome assembly